GGGUCCGUAGCUCAGUUUGGACGGAGCGGACGGCUACGAACCGUCAGGUCCUGGGUUCAAAUCCCAGCGGACUCG
This 75-nucleotide transfer RNA is filed under the name Nanohaloarchaea archaeon H01. Its description in RNAcentral is "tRNA-Arg". It matches the Rfam family "tRNA". From Rfam's summary of the family: Transfer RNA (tRNA) molecules are approximately 80 nucleotides in length. Their secondary structure includes four short double-helical elements and three loops (D, anti-codon, and T loops). Lineage: Archaea; Methanobacteriati; Methanobacteriota; Candidatus Nanohaloarchaea. The record is from RNAcentral.